RNAcentral lists this transfer RNA (151 nucleotides) under Microcaldota archaeon. RNAcentral describes it as "tRNA-Leu". It matches the Rfam family "tRNA". Rfam says of the family: Transfer RNA (tRNA) molecules are approximately 80 nucleotides in length. Their secondary structure includes four short double-helical elements and three loops (D, anti-codon, and T loops). The record is from RNAcentral. Lineage: Archaea; Nanobdellati; Microcaldota.
GUGGGGGUGGCAGAGCCUGGUCAAAGGUCGCCCUCAAAACCCGCAAACGGGUUCCAACAGAGCGCCUGUAAUUUGCUUUUCGUUGGCCAAAUGCGCAGGAUUGAGGCUCCUGUUCCUUAGGGAUGCCUGGGUUCAAAUCCCAGCCCCCACA